Long non-coding RNA from Trichoplusia ni (cabbage looper), 842 nucleotides. RefSeq lists it as uncharacterized. NCBI's taxonomy places the organism in Eukaryota, Metazoa, Arthropoda, Insecta, Lepidoptera, Noctuidae. The transcript has 3 exons. The record is from RefSeq and is a predicted model, not a curated record.
UGACAUGCGCGUUGCAUUGAAUUGGGUCUAGACAGAAAUUUCGCUGGGUUUUGGAAUCAGUGCGCCGCCCGCCGUCAACCGAGCAAGACGGCUUGGUACUGUAUCCGCUAUCCACAGGGCAUUGCUGCCCUUGAUACCGCAACACUGGGGAAUCUUGGAGACUUUUGACGACCGAGAACGUCACACUCCCGCAGUCUCCGGGCGCUGCGGCCUGUCAGGGCUGUGGCGCCGGCCGUCCUAACAUCUGUGACGGAGAUUCCCAGUGAGCGAGGAGUAGAACCACCUCGCAUAUGCAGCGGAUGCAACACCAGUCUGCCUUAUCAUGGUCCCAGUUACAACGCGCACUCAACAACACCUCCAGCACCAUGGCUUCAUGAACACGCUUGCACGUGGACAGGAAGCUAUGGAGCCGACCCCCACUGACAUUGGGGCAUCUGGGCACCAUGAUGGAUGACAACGGAAGAGGCGGGGACCCAAGGCGGGGGGAUCUCAGGACCAAGGUUUCCACUCGAAAGAGUUUGGUCCUUUGAUCUCCUCCUUUAACCCCUUGGGUCCGCGCCUCAAAAGUGUCUGUGAUUGCAUUGAUGUUGAUCUGAAGUCAAGGCAAUUGUGGGCUCUAUAAUGGGCAGGGGAAAGACCCUAAAAAGUCGAUCCGUUGUCCAGAACCCACUCGGGACUCGAACCCCUUCGAGUUUGGAGUGGAUUCCUCAUAAUACCAUCUUUGGGAUAUUCUCUCAUCGUUGGUAUUCAAACUUAUUAAUUUACGAAAACGUGGUAUUGCUGUAAGGAUUAGUUUAUAAGUAGGUAUAAGUAAAAAAAAAAACUAAAUAUAAGUAAAAAAA